RNA transcript from Phaethon lepturus (White-tailed tropicbird), 438 nucleotides. It is a transcript of the gene named bromodomain-containing protein 4 pseudogene, with no coding region annotated. Lineage: Eukaryota; Metazoa; Chordata; Aves; Phaethontiformes; Phaethontidae. The transcript has 2 exons. The record is from RefSeq and is a predicted model, not a curated record.
AGAUACAGUAUCUAAAGGCAUUUGUGCCUGAAGCCACGGAAGAUAGAUGGACAAGCCAAGCAACUUCUGACUCUGCAUCAUUUUCUGGGGCAAAAUUAUAUGGCAAUGUAUCCUACAAGGGUAUCCGGUGAGGAAUGCAAUGGGAUCAAUAGCAUGUCGGCGGAGAGCGGCCCUGGAACGAGACUGAGAAAUUUGCCGGUAAUGGGGGAUGGACUAGAAACCACCCAAAUGUCUACGACGCAGUCACAGGCUCAACCCCAACAAGGCAGUGUUGUAGGCGUUAAUCCCCCUCCGCCGGAGACCUCCAACCCCAACAAACCCAAGCGGCAGACCAACCAGCUGCAAUACCUGCUCAAGGUGGUGCUGAAGACGCUAUGGAAGCACCAGUUUGCGUGGCCUUUCCAGCAGCCCGUGGACGCCGUCAAGCUGAACCUCCCU